Non-coding RNA from Gossypium raimondii (Peruvian cotton), 145 nucleotides. The record is from Rfam. NCBI's taxonomy places the organism in Eukaryota, Viridiplantae, Streptophyta, Magnoliopsida, Malvales, Malvaceae.
UGUUAAAAUUUUUAUCUAUUUGUAAUGUUAAAAACUGACGUGGCUAAUGAAAUAACUAAAUGAUAAUAUGUGACGUGUCAUAUGUACCUUAUAUUGACAUACAUGGACUAAUUUUAAACGGUAGAUAUGGAUAGAAUUUUUAUCA